GUACACUCCUACGGGAGGCAGCAGUGGGGAAUUUUGGACAAUGGGCGAAAGCCUGAUCCAGCAAUGCCGCGUGUGUGAAGAAGGCCUUCGGGUUGUAAAGCACUUUUGUCCGGAAAGAAAUCCUUGGCUCUAAUACAGUCGGGGGAUGACGGUACCGGAAGAAUAAGCACCGGCUAACUACGUGCCAGCAGCCGCGGUAAUACGUAGGGUGCGAGCGUUAAUCGGAAUUACUGGGCGUAAAGCGUGCGCAGGCGGUUUGCUAAGACCGAUGUGAAAUCCCCGGGCUCAACCUGGGAACUGCAUUGGUGACUGGCAGGCUAGAGUAUGGCAGAGGGGGGUAGAAUUCCACGUGUAGCAGUGAAAUGCGUAGAGAUGUGGAGGAAUACCGAUGGCGAAGGCAGCCCCCUGGGCCAAUACUGACGCUCAUGCACGAAAGCGUGGGGAGCAAACAGGAUUAGAUACCCGGGUAGUCCAU
RNAcentral lists this ribosomal RNA (475 nucleotides) under uncultured organism. Its description in RNAcentral is "partial 16S ribosomal RNA". It matches the Rfam family "Bacterial small subunit ribosomal RNA", at positions 331 to 798 of the family's 1533-position model. The record is from RNAcentral.